CAGUAAUGAAUUGGAUUUAAAAGAAGCUGAGCAUCCAGAAGAGGAAGAAUUCAUACUUUCUUAUUCCAGCGCCAUCAAGUCCUCAGUGAAUCAUUUAUGUAACUUAAGGGGAAUGUUUUAGCUUUAAAAAAAGAAAGUGUCAUGAAAAACACUUAUUAAUCAGUGCGAAGUACAAUGACGUUGCAUAGAAGAAUGCAUAUUGCACACACCUCCACAACCAACUUUCCUGACCAGGUCAUGCUGUACGUCACAAAUUCACCCUCACCCCUCCUAGAAGGAGAUGUUGUUGUACAAAAGCAACCACCAAACGUUUCAUGUCACUGCAGAGGAAGGUAGGAGUAGACAAGAUCUGGUCUCUGGGAUUUUGCCUAAUGGCUCUGCUGACAUUACGAAAGGCUCAACUUGAAGCAGCGACCACAGUUACAGCUGUUUUACCCAGUGAAACUGUCAC
Gasterosteus aculeatus aculeatus (three-spined stickleback) is the source of this 451-nucleotide long non-coding RNA. The record is from Ensembl. Lineage: Eukaryota; Metazoa; Chordata; Actinopteri; Perciformes; Gasterosteidae.